This 460-nucleotide ribosomal RNA is filed under the name uncultured bacterium. RNAcentral describes it as "partial 16S ribosomal RNA". It matches the Rfam family "Bacterial small subunit ribosomal RNA", at positions 338 to 795 of the family's 1533-position model. The record is from RNAcentral.
CCUACGGGAGGCAGCAGUGAGGAAUAUUGGUCAAUGGGCGCGAGCCUGAACCAGCCAAGUAGCGUGAAGGAUGACUGCCCUACGGGUUGUACACUUCUUUUAUAAAGGAAUAAAGUGAGGCAUGUGUGCCUUUUUGUAUGUACUUUAUGAAUAAGGAUCGGCUAACUCCGUGCCAGCAGCCGCGGUAAUACGGGGGAUCCGAGCGUUAGCCGGAUUUAUUGGGUUGAAAGGGGUCGUAGCGUGGUUGUUAAGUCAGUUGUGAAAGUUCGGGGCUCAACCGUAGAAUUGCAUUUGAUACUGGCAGUCUUGAGUGCAGUUGAGGUAGGCGGAAUUCGUGGUGUAGCGGUGAAAUGCUGAGAUAUCACGAAGAACUCCGAUGGCGAAGGCAGCUUACUAAACUGCCACUGACGUUGAUGCUCGAAAGUGUGGGUAUCAAACAGGAUUAGAUACCCCAGUAGUC